This 559-nucleotide ribosomal RNA is filed under the name bacterium amp-w-1. Its description in RNAcentral is "bacterial SSU rRNA". It matches the Rfam family "Bacterial small subunit ribosomal RNA", at positions 49 to 604 of the family's 1533-position model. The record is from RNAcentral.
CUACACAUGCAGUCGAGCGGAUGAAGAGAGCUUGCUCUCUGAUUCAGCGGCGGACGGGUGAGUAAUGCCUAGGAAUCUGCCUGGUAGUGGGGGACAACGUUUCGAAAGGAACGCUAAUACCGCAUACGUCCUACGGGAGAAAGCAGGGGACCUUCGGGCCUUGCGCUAUCAGAUGAGCCUAGGUCGGAUUAGCUAGUUGGUGAGGUAAUGGCUCACCAAGGCGACGAUCCGUAACUGGUCUGAGAGGAUGAUCAGUCACACUGGAACUGAGACACGGUCCAGACUCCUACGGGAGGCAGCAGUGGGGAAUAUUGGACAAUGGGCGAAAGCCUGAUCCAGCCAUGCCGCGUGUGUGAAGAAGGUCUUCGGAUUGUAAAGCACUUUAAGUUGGGAGGAAGGGCAUUAACCUAAUACGUUAGUGUUUUGACGUUACCGACAGAAUAAGCACCGGCUAACUCUGUGCCAGCAGCCGCGGUAAUACAGAGGGUGCAAGCGUUAAUCGGAAUUACUGGGCGUAAAGCGCGCGUAGGUGGUUUGUUAAGUUGGAUGUGAAAGCCCC